AGCAGCCGCGGUAAUUCCAGCUCCAAUAGCGUAUAUUAAAGUUGCUGCAGUUAAAAAGCUCGUAGUUGAAUUUCGGGACCGAUAUAUCGGUCGUGCCUCGGUACGUACUGGUAUUUUCGGUUUCUACCUUCUGACGAACCUUGAUGUCAUUAAUUUGGUGUCUUGGGGAAUCAGGACUGUUACUUUGAAAAAAUUAGAGUGUUUAAAGCAGGCUCACGCUUGAAUACAUUAGCAUGGAAUAAUGAAAUAGGACGUUUGAUUCUAUUUUGUUGGUUUCUAGGAUCGACGUAAUGAUUAAUAGGGGUAGUUGGGGGCAUUAGUAUUCAAUUGUCAGAGGUGAAAUUCUUGGAUUUAUUGAAGACUAACUACUGCGAAAGCAUUUGCCAAGGAUGUUUUCAUUAAUCAAGAACGAAAGUUAGGGGAUCGAAGACGAUCAGAUACCGUCGUAGUCUUAACCAUAAACUAUGCCGACUAGGGAUCGGAUGAUGUUAAUUUUUUAUGACUCAUUCGGCGCCUUACG
Molecule: ribosomal RNA, 520 nt
Filed under: uncultured Glomus
Lineage: Eukaryota; Fungi; Glomeromycota; Glomeromycetes; Glomerales; Glomeraceae
Description: SSU rRNA
Rfam family: Eukaryotic small subunit ribosomal RNA
Source: RNAcentral